RNAcentral lists this ribosomal RNA (253 nucleotides) under uncultured bacterium. RNAcentral's name for it is "partial 16S ribosomal RNA". It matches the Rfam family "Bacterial small subunit ribosomal RNA", at positions 524 to 776 of the family's 1533-position model. The record is from RNAcentral.
UACGUAGGGUCCGAGCGUUGUCCGGAAUUAUUGGGCGUAAAGAGCUCGUAGGCGGUUUGUCGCGUCUGCUGUGAAAACUGGAGGCUCAACCUCCAGCCUGCAGUGGGUACGGGCAGACUAGAGUGCGGUAGGGGAGAAUGGAAUUCCUGGUGUAGCGGUGGAAUGCGCAGAUAUCAGGAGGAACACCGAUGGCGAAGGCAGUUCUCUGGGCCGUAACUGACGCUGAGGAGCGAAAGCAUGGGGAGCGAACAGG